Molecule: ribosomal RNA, 407 nt
Filed under: uncultured bacterium
Lineage: Bacteria
Description: partial 16S ribosomal RNA
Rfam family: Bacterial small subunit ribosomal RNA
Source: RNAcentral
GACGAACGCUGGCGGCGUGCCUAAUACAUGCAAGUAGGACGCAGUUGUGAACGGGUGAGUAACGCCUAGGUAACUGCCUAUUAGAGGGGUAUAACCAUUGGAUACGAUAGCUAAUACUGCAUACCAGUAGAUGGAUCUUCGGUGUAUUACCUAGUAGGUUGGGUAAUGGCCUACCUAGGCUACGAUACAUAGCCGAGCUGGGAGGGUGUACCAGCAAACAGGGAGUGGGGCACGGCUCAGAAGCCUAAGGGAAGCAGGAGGAGGGAAUCUGCGGCAAAGGGGGGAAACCUUAACGAGCAACGCCGCGGGAGGGGAGAAGGGUUUCGGAUCGUAAAGCUCUGUUGUUAAGGGAGCGGUACUUAACCAGAAAGGGACGGCUAACUACGUGCCAGCAGCCGCGGUAAUUC